CCUACGGGUGGCAGCAGUCGAGAAUCAUUCACAAUGGGGGAAACCCUGAUGGUGCGACGCCGCGUGGGGGAAUGAAGGUCUUCGGAUUGUAAACCCCUGUCAUGUGGGAGCAAAUUAAAAAGAUAGUACCACAAGAGGAAGAGACGGCUAACUCUGUGCCAGCAGCCGCGGUAAUACAGAGGUCUCAAGCGUUGUUCGGAAUCACUGGGCGUAAGGCGUGCGUAGGCUGUUUCGUAAGGCGUGUGUGAAAGGCGCGGGCUCAACCCGCGGACGGCACAUGAUACUGCGAGACUAGAGUAAUGGAGGGGGAACCGGGAUUCUCGGUGUAGCAGUGAAAUGCGUAGAUAUCGAGAGGAACACUCGUGGCGAAGGCGGGUUCCUGGACAUUAACUGACGCUGAGGCACGAAGGCCAGGGGAGCGAAAGGGAUUAGAUACCCUUGUAGUC
RNAcentral lists this ribosomal RNA (446 nucleotides) under uncultured bacterium. RNAcentral describes it as "partial 16S ribosomal RNA". It matches the Rfam family "Bacterial small subunit ribosomal RNA", at positions 338 to 795 of the family's 1533-position model. The record is from RNAcentral.